UAUGUGCAUCUUUUCGCUAGUAGUAUAGUAAUAAUAAUAAUAAUUUGAAAAGUGUACAACUUGUUUGCUGCCAUAACAUAGUAGUAACAUACAACAUUAAUUAAAGUUUCCCUUGGUCACUUCACUUGCAUAUGCCUGAUCAAGUAGCUCAGGAAAGGAAAAAAAAGAGCAGCAUCAACUGAAAGAAGUGCAGAUUGUGGUAAAAGCAACACUGAGGGUAUCCAUAAAACUCUCCUGUUUGUCCCCUAUCUAUCUAUAUUAGAAAGAAAAGAAAAAAACCACGGGCUUUUGGUAGCCCAAAUGGGUCAAAAAAAAUAGGGGAAGGAAGGAAGGAGAGACUAAUUAAGGUGGCAGCCUGCAGUGAAGCUCAUACAACCUAACUGAACAAACAAUCAACCAGAUAGAAAUGGAGAAUAUAUAUAUAUAUAUAUAUAUA
This 436-nucleotide long non-coding RNA is filed under the name Medicago truncatula (barrel medic). Its description in RNAcentral is "long non-coding RNA (MTRU_LNC005777)". The record is from RNAcentral. Lineage: Eukaryota; Viridiplantae; Streptophyta; Magnoliopsida; Fabales; Fabaceae.